GCCCACGAUGGCUACAGAGCUUCAAGGAGGAGGCUUCCUGGAGGAGGUGGCCCAGCUCUUCAGAGGACCAGCAUGUCUUCCCCUUGGGUUCUGGGACCCCUUUUAACGAUAAGUCCUUUUGGACCACGCUGGUCCUGGCUGAGACCCUGCCGCCUGCCGCGCGCCUUGAGCAGAGGUUAGACAGGCCGCGCACCUCCAAGCUUUGACACGUCCUUCCUCCAAAGGGUGGAGGCCCCACAGGCCCCGCAGGGACCUUUGCCAUAGGAACCGCGGGUUUCUGACGGGCAGGAGGCGCCUGAGAGGUCUCCGCGGAACGGCGCGUGCACCUGCGGCCGCGGCGGCGGGUCCGGAAGGAGAUGGGCCGCUGGAUGGGCUGUUUCCUGAGCUUGGUUCCCGUGGCGGGGUGGCCCCUCGCCCCUGCAUUUGGCAGACGUGAUGCGGAGCCCGAGGGUGGCUGUUGGCCUGGGGCGGGGAGGGGGCUCUCUAGAUCUGGGGUCCCACCUGCUGGGCUUGGGGAGCCCAUUUGGCCUUCUCUGAUUGGUCCGGGGUUGCAGGUGGGGUCACCUCAGGAAGCUGCUGUAUCUGAGGGAACCCGGGCCGCACUCGGGGGACGCUGGGGUUUGACUUCUGGGGCUGGGGGCUGCACGAGUGGGUCGGGGUCUGUCUGGGUUGGGGUCCGCGGCCGCGUGGGGUCUGGAUUGGCGUCUGCUUGGCUUGGGGGUCCUCAGCCGCAUGCAGUUUGGGUCGGAGUCAGGGUCUGCAGCUGUGUGGGGUCCGGUUCUCAUGGCCCCUGUGCCUGGACUUCGCUCUC
Molecule: long non-coding RNA, 811 nt
Filed under: Pongo abelii (Sumatran orangutan)
Lineage: Eukaryota; Metazoa; Chordata; Mammalia; Primates; Hominidae
Description: lincRNA
Source: RNAcentral